RNAcentral lists this unclassified non-coding RNA (357 nucleotides) under soil metagenome. RNAcentral describes it as "partial contains 5.8S ribosomal RNA, internal transcribed spacer 2, and large subunit ribosomal RNA". The stretch from base 1 to 120 matches the Rfam family "5.8S ribosomal RNA", at positions 35 to 154 of the family's 154-position model. The record is from RNAcentral.
GAUGAAGAACGCAGCGAAAUGCGAUAAGUAAUGUGAAUUGCAGAAUUCAGUGAAUCAUCGAAUCUUUGAACGCACAUUGCGCCCGUUAGCAUUCUAGCGGGCAUGCCUGUCCGAGCGUCAUUUCAACCCUCAGGGUCCCCGUUCCGGCGGGGAACCUGGUGUUGGGGAUCGGCCCGCCCCGUGCGGCGCCGUCCCCCAAAUUCAGUGGCGGUCUCGCUGCAGCCUCCCCUGCGUAGUAGUUACAACCUCGCAACGGAGCUCAGCGCGGCCACGCCGUAAAACCCCCGACUUUCUGAACGUUGACCUCGGAUCAGGUAGGAAUACCCGCUGAACUUAAGCAUAUCAAUAAGCGGAGGA